RNAcentral lists this transfer RNA (74 nucleotides) under Gemmata sp. RNAcentral's name for it is "tRNA-His". It matches the Rfam family "tRNA". Rfam says of the family: Transfer RNA (tRNA) molecules are approximately 80 nucleotides in length. The record is from RNAcentral. Lineage: Bacteria; Pseudomonadati; Planctomycetota; Planctomycetia; Gemmatales; Gemmataceae. RNAcentral also lists the same sequence under 4 other names.
GUGACUGUAGCUCAGCUGGUUAGAGCACCAGACUGUGGAUCUGGGUGUCGGGGGUUCGAAUCCCCUCAGUCACC